Molecule: ribosomal RNA, 494 nt
Filed under: uncultured bacterium
Lineage: Bacteria
Description: bacterial SSU rRNA
Rfam family: Bacterial small subunit ribosomal RNA
Source: RNAcentral
GACAACGCUGGCGGCGUGCUUAAUACAUGCAAGUCGAGCGGUGAACCCGACUGAAAGCCUUCGGGCUUGACGUUGGGGGAUCAGCGGCGGAUGGGUGAGUAACGCGUGGGUACCUGCCCUAAAGUCUGGGAUAACAACUCGAAAGGGUUGCUAAUACCGGAUGUGACCGAGAGGUUAAAGGCAGAGAUGUCGCUUUAGGAUGGGCCCGCGUCCCAUUAGCUAGUUGGUGAGGUAAGGGCUCACCAAGGCUGCGAGUGGGUAGCCGGCCUGAGGAGGGUGGACGGCCACACGUGGGACUGAGACACCGGCCCAGACUCCGUACGGGGAGGCAGCAGGUAAGGGUAAUUUUCCGCAAUGGACGGAAGUCUGGACGGGGCGACGCCGCGUGGGGGAAGAAGGCCUUCGGGUUGUAAACCUCUGUCUUCAGGGACGAAGAGGGUGUGGGAGACACACCGAAGCCGGUACCUGAGGAGGAAGCCCCGGCUAACUACGUG